Molecule: ribosomal RNA, 1329 nt
Filed under: Plasmodium reichenowi
Lineage: Eukaryota; Apicomplexa; Aconoidasida; Haemosporida; Plasmodiidae
Source: RNAcentral
GAUACUAUUUUUUUAGUAUUACGGUACUCCUAUUUUUAUUGUACUGAAGGCAAGUUAUUUUCAUGUCCUACUCAUCUAUAUCGCAACCUACUUUUAUAUAUAUUUUUUUUUAGGAAAAAGUAUGUGUAAAAGAAAAAGCAAUUUAAUACAAUCUGUCUCAGGCGUUGUAAUUUUUUUAUGACGUUUAAAUAGUAUUGACACUAAUGUCGCGAAGGAAAAACGUAAAAUUGUAAUAUAUUUUAUAUUUUUUAAAUAGGCUUUUUUCUUAUUUAUAAGAAAAGCUUGUUUAUACAUAUAGGUUGUUUUAUAUACUUUUUCGUGAAGAAAAGUAUAUAUAUAUAUCUAUAUGUCCUGUACUAUGUAUCACUGAGAUAUAACAGUUGUAUAUUAAAAAAUUGGGUUAUAUGUAUAAAGCAUAUAAUUAAAAUAUUAAGAGUUAUGAAGAAUGCAUACAAUAAUAUUAUAUAUAUAUUAUUGCUUCAUAAUAUCUGAACAACUUUUGUUAGGAAGUGUACAUAUAGAUCUAGCUAGUUGUACCUCACGUUCUCGCUUAGAGGAUUAUUUGAAAGACAGAAAGGCCUUAUACAAUAAUGUUAUAUUUAAUUAUGGCAUUAGCUUUUUAGCACGUAUAAGCUCUUACAUAGGAUAUUUCGGUAUGGACGAUCCUUUGACCACUAGUCGUUUUUGUUUGGUGAACCCACACACUCACGUCAGUUCUUGGUGACCCUGUAUCGAUCUUGUCACUAUGAAUAGAUACAUUGCCUUUUUGUGGCUAUAUAUAUAUAUAUAUAUAUAUAUAUAUAUAUAUGUAUGUAUACUGAGAUAUAACAGUUGUAUAUUAAAAAAUUGGGUUAUAUGUAUAAAGCAUAUAAUUAAAAUAUUAAGAGUUAUGAAGAAUGCAUACAAUAAUAUUAUAUAUAUAUUAUUGCUUCAUAAUAUCUGAACAACUUUUGUUAGGAAGUGUACAUAUAGAUCUAGCUAGUUGUACCUCACGUUCUCGCUUAGAGGAUUAUUUGAAAGACAGAAAGGCCUUAUACAAUAAUGUUAUAUUUAAUUAUGGCAUUAGCUUUUUAGCACGUAUAAGCUCUUACAUAGGAUAUUUCGGUAUGGACGAUCCUUUGACCACUAGUCGUUUUUGUUUGGUGAACCCACACACUCACGUCAGUUCUUGGUGACCCUGUAUCGAUCUUGUCACUAUGAAUAGAUACAUUGCCUUUUUGUGGCUAUAUAUAUAUAUAUAUAUAUAUAUAUAUAUAUAUGUAUGUAUGUCAACAUAAGAUGUAUCUAUUGAGAGGGACUUUAAGAAAAUAUACAGCCAGAGGAUAAAAA